Nicotiana tabacum (common tobacco) is the source of this 7243-nucleotide non-coding RNA. NCBI's taxonomy places the organism in Eukaryota, Viridiplantae, Streptophyta, Magnoliopsida, Solanales, Solanaceae. The record is from RefSeq and is a predicted model, not a curated record.
UAUAUGCAACUCAACUCAGACUGAAGGUUCCUACUGCUCUUUCUCCGGAUUUUCAUGACUUUCUCAUUUCCUCUUCAAUUUUUCUUUGUCUCUUCUGGUCUUUCCUCUUGCGGCUCUGAAACGGUUAUUAGGUUUGUACUGUGAUUAGAAUACUGACAUUUACAAAACUCAAGUUUUCUUAACAACGGAUCCUCAACAAACAAAAAAACGUCCUUGCAUAACGACAGAAGCUUAUGAUAAGAAUGCCAAACGACUUGAAGUGUACAACGAUAUGACCAUGGCUGAAAAGAAUGCGCUUCUGUUGCAACGACGUCUGAAAAAAAGAGAGACAACAACUAAUCGUAUUCUCGCAAGUAAGACUUCUGUCAAUCCUAUUGAACAGCAUCUGUAAUGCAUGGUAAUUUCGCUGCUGGAGCCUCUUGUUCUAUGUCAAAAAUAGUCACUGAAUGUGAAGUUUUUACGUCACCUGAUGUGCUUCGCAAGGAGAAAAAUGUGGUGUACCCUUUUCAUGUUUUCGAAAAAGGUUCUACAUCUGGCACCUCAAAUGAGUCAAGUGCUACAUCUUUUGAGACGAUUUUGGCUGACGGUUAGUAUGAACAUAACAUAUCGUUUUUACUAUUUGCUGUUUCAUAAUUUUUUCAAUUGCUUAAGUCUGUUUGGCGAAUGCAGGUCAUGUAAAGAAAAAAAUUGACUAAUACUGGUUAUGGAAAAAAGAGAAAUAUGCCUAAUAAUAUCUGAUUACGCUCUAGAGUAUUUUCCACUUAAAAAGUGCCAAAAUGUGAAUUCUGCUCGGCCAAAAAAUUUCAGUUUGAAUUACCUUCAUUUUGUUGUGCUAACGGUACAGUUAAGUUGACUUAUCAUAGAAUGCCACCUACUAAGAAAUUUAUUUCUAGGAUCUUCUGCAAAAUGCAAGCACUUCCGGACGUACAUUAGAACAUAUAAUAAUAUGUUUGCUUUUACCUCACGUGGUGUCAAUUACGAUAAAGAUUUAGCCAAAAGAAAUCAUGGUAUAUAUACAUUCAUAGUUCAAGGUCAAAUGUAUCACUUUAUAGAUGAUUUAUAUCCUGCAGAGAGAAGGCCUAAAAAUUUGCAGUUGUACUUUUAUGAUAACGAUAAUGAGAUUGCAAAUAGAAUGGCUUGCUCUGAUAAAAUAGAUGAAUUAAUAGUGUGGGAAUUGAUAGACACACUAAAAGAUAAUCCAUAUUCUAUAUUUUAACGAACUUUAUCUGAGAUUUCGAACUUACAGAACUAUCACAUCGCACUUAAAUGUAACUCUGGAUUGGAUCAACGAAUAUUUAACUUGCCAAGUACUAUUGAGGUUGCAGCAAUAUGGGUUGAUGAGAAUGAUGUUGGUGCUAUUCAUGUAUUGCACGUUCAAAUUUAUACUCACAGCAAUAGAACGCAAAGAGUGAACUACUAUUUUGGGUGUUUUUAUCCUUUACAGUAUCCUUUACUAUUUCUGUAUGGCUAAAGUGGGUGGCAUUAUGGUAUUAGAAAGUUUCACGGAGAAGAAAAUAUGCCUAAAAAUUAUGCUUUGUCUGAUUUGAAACAAUUACCAAAUAUAAAAAAUUUCACGUCUGUUGACGGAUAUCUUGAUAUGGAAGAUCAAGUUAUGCAAAAAGGAAAACGAAAGAGAGAUACAGUUUUAGUUCGUGAAUACUACAGUUACAAGCUCCAGAUGAGAAACGAUGAUGAAUAUGAACUUCUACAUACAAGGAGAUUACUUCAACAAUAUUCAGUUGAUGAAUAUAUAAAAUUGGAGACUCAAAGAUUGGAUUUUGUUUUCUUCAAUCAAGAUUUGUUCAGAAUGGAUAUUUUAAAAGGACUUCUUGACAUUUUAAGACAUGGUGAAUGAGAUGCUUCUAAUGUUGGAAAAUAAACAUUUCUGCCAAAAUUUAUUUAUAGGAGGGCCUAGAGAUAUGCGUCAGCGUUAUAUGGACGCUAUUGCAUUAGUGCAGUAUUUUGGAAAGCCCGAUCUAUUUAUAAUGAUGACAUGUAACCCAGCUUGGCCAGAAAUUGAGGAACAUUUAGCACCUAGCGAUGAGGCUCAGAAUAGACUGAUUUGAUUAGUCGCGUAUUUAGGGCCAAAAUAGAAGAGUUGAAGACGGAUAUUCUAAAACGAAAUAUCUUUGGAAAAGUUACUGCUUUUAUGUAUACCGUUGAGUUUCAAAAACGAGGUUUACCUCAUGCUCAUUUUCUUAUUAUAUUGCAGAAUAACUAUAAAUUGUUGACAGCUGAAGCAUACGAUGAAAUAAUUAGGGCAAAAUUACCAGACACUAAUGCAGACUCAGAUUUGCGUAAGCUUGUUCUUAAGCAUAUGAUGCACGGUCCUUGUGGUAGUUUAGACCCAACAAAUUCCUGUAUGAGGAAAAAAACUGGUUCUUGCAAGUUCAAAUGUCCGAAUAUGUUUGCUGAUCAAACAUCAAAAGGAAAUGAUUCUUAUCCAAUUUAUAGCAGACGAAACACAAGUGAAGUUGUGAAAGUAAGAGGUCAUUACUUAGAUAACUCUUGGGUCGUUCCAUACAAUCUGUAUUAACUCGGUAAAUUCAACUGCCACAUAAAUGUUGAAGCUUGCUCUGAUAUAAAAGUUGUGAAGUACCUUUAUAAGUACAUCUGUAAAGGACAUGACAAAAUUGCAUUUUCUGUACAGAAUAAUGAUGCGAAUAUAGAAAUAGAUGAGGUAAAUGAAUAUCGGUCUGCUAGAUGGGUAUCACCUCCGGAAGCUGUAUGGCGUCUCUUUCGUUUUUCUAUUAUCGAAAUGUCUCCUAAUAUUUAUCGUCUUUAGCUGCAUCUUGAUGGACAACAACUUGUUUCUUUCAAGAAAAAUAUGGAUGUAAAUACGAUUGUAAAUAAUUCCAUGAUUAAAAAAACUAUGCUGACUGAGUUCUUCUAUAUGAACAAAACAGAUAAGAAUGCCAUAAAGCUGAACUUAUUGUACAGAGAAUUUCCUGAAUACUUUGUGUGGUCCUCCAACAAUAAAUUUUGGGCACUUCAACAGCGUCGUUGUGUUGUUGGUCGCGUUGUAACAUGUUAUCCAACAGAAGGAGAAUGAUAUUAUCUUAGAUUGUUAUUGAUGCAUGUACGUGGGCCGACAUCGUACGAGGAUCUUCUUGUGGUAAAUGGAGAACCUUGUAGUACAUUUAGAGAAUCUGUGGAGAAAAGAGAAUUAUUACAGUGUGAUAACAAUUUAACGGAAUGCAUGUCUGAAACAACAAGUUAUCAGAUGCCAUAUAGUUUAAGGCAUUUUUUUGCUACAUUAUAGGUACACUGCAACCCUACCAAUCCAAGAGAACUAUGGCAGCAAUUUGAAUAGUCUAUGUCUGAAGAUUAUAAAGUGUUACAGACUAUUGAAACAAAAGAAAUCCGAUAUCAAGUUCUGAACCAUAUUAAUGAUAUUUGCAUUCUAUGGGUCACAAUGUAAAUGAAUAUGAACUCAUCCCACAAACAAUUAGGCCUUCCGCAGCAGCGAAAGAAGCAAAAGAGAUUCACUUUGAAAGAACUAUUAUUGUCAGUGAAGACGAGGUACUAUUGCAUAAGAGACUAAAUAAAAAUCAACUGACAACAUAUGCUGUAAUUAUCAACAGAGUAUUUUCCAACAAAGCGGGCGCAUUUUUCAUUGACGGUCCAGGAGGAACUGGAAAAACUUUCCUAUACUGUGCUUUACUAGCAACUGUACAGUGUAUGGGAUAUAUCGCUUUAGCAACUGCGACUUCUGGUGUCGCUGCUUCUAUUCUCCCUGGUGGGCGUACUGCACAUUCAAGCUUUAAAAUUCCUAUUGAUAUUGACGAGAUUGUCAGCUGCAAUAUUAGUAAAGAAAGCGCACUUGCGAGUUUAAUUCGCGAUGCAAAAUUGAUUGUAUGGGAUGAGGCAUCUAUGGCAAAUAAAAGAAUGCUAGAAGUUUUUGAUUUGCUACUAAAAGAUCUCAUGGACAAAUGUAAUAUUCGAUGGAAAAGUAGUUAUUUUUGGGGGUGAUUUUAGACAAACUCUUCCCGUUGUGAGAAAUGAAAAAAAAAGGAAGAUUUCAUUAAUCAAAGUUUGUUAUAUUCCAGCAUUUGGGCCAAGCUAGAAAAAAGUCAAUUAUCUGAGAAUAUGAGAGCAAAAACAGAUCCAGCGUUCUGUGAUUAUUUGCUAAGAAUUGGGAAUGGACAAGAACGUCUUAACGCAACAAACAACAUUGAAGUACCAAAUUCUUUAAUUGUGCCUUUCACAACUGAAAGAGAAUCUUUAGAUAAACUAUUCACAGUGACAUAUCCAUAUUUGAAUUCAUCUGGUUAUGACGCUUCUUGUACAGACUCCCGUGUAAUUUUGACAACAAAAAAUAAUUUUGUCGAUGAUAUCAACGAUAUGCUUAUUGAUCAAUUUCCAGGAAAAGCAAGAACAUUUGUUGGUAUAGACCAUUGAAUCUAACAAUCAAUCACAGUUUGAAGAUCUAUUGCAUACUUUAAACCCUGCAGGUUUGCCUCCGUACAUAUUAUCUUUGAAAAAGAAUUGUCCAAUUAUGUUAUUACGAAACUUAAAUCCAUAUGAAGGUUUAUGCAAUGGCACACGAUUACACUGUUGUGAAUUUAAAACUCAUGUUCUAAGUGCUAAGAUUGCAGCAGGCGAUUUCAAGAAUACGCAUGUAUUUAUUCCAAGAAUACCAUUAUUAUCAUCAAAUGAUGAAAAAUUGCAUGUUCAAUUCAAGAGAACACACUUUCCAGUAAGAUAAUGCUUUGCUAUGACUAUAAAUAAAGCGCAGGGUCAGACAAUAGAUUUUGUGGGAAUUUAUUUGCGUGAACCUGUAUUUUCCCACGGCCAACUUUAUGUUUUCGAACUAUGUGAAAUUGUUGAUUCGACCUCCCAUCCCGACUAGCGAUGAUGAUCAUUCUACCUGUAACAUAGUUUACGAUGAAAUCAUUCAAAAGACAAUCGUGUGAUGUUUCUUACUACAAGACGAUUCUCUAAGUCUUUUACUCUGAAGUGGAUGAUUCCUUAGCAGAAUAUACUUCGUUUGUAUCUCUAAAUGUUAACCAACAGGUAUUUUCAUCUUCCAUUUGUUUUCAUCUCAACUUCAUCUUGAUCUCUAUCUAAUAUGAUUGCUUUUUUUUUUUUAUUAUAAAAAGUGAUUGAAUUAUUCAUUUAUGUAAUUUCUUCUUUCUCUAUCUGCUUUGCUAAUCCUCUGCUUUUUCUUCUGAGAUUCCUGUUGCCUGAGAUCCCCAUUUAGGAUUGUUUUCCGUGCUUCCUGCCUUUUCCAGCUUCCACGCUCUCCAUUGGUACCUUUUCUAGGUAAGCUUUGCGGUUAAUACUACAAAUUGAAUUAUCUAUAAAAACUUUGAAGUUUCAAAGUUGCAGUUACAAAAUUGCAUCAUGUAUCUAUAGAAGAUUUUAAUGGAAAUACCAGUAUAUCUAAUAUCUUACUUUCCUGGUGUUUUACAUCUAUAUCUGUAGUGGCUUCUGUUUUUCUUUAACUUUGUUCUUCUAGUUACAUAACCUUAUUCAUUCUUUAGUGUUUACCUAAAAUAAAGAAUUGCUAAACAAGACUGAUGAAUGGUUGUACGCUGAAUUAUUAACCUUGCUAGGACAUUCCGCGGUCAUUGCAAACUGUAACUGGUGACAAUUAAUUAAUCAUUCUAUGAUUGUUUCUUGGUGCAAGAUGGAAGGCUAAUAUAUUUUUACUCGAAUGUUGCGUAUAGGUAAAGCAUAUUACAUUUUAGUAGCAUGAUGUUUGUAGGUGUUGUUCCAAAAUAUUUUGCUUUCUCUUCAGAGAAAUAUAAUAUGUACGUGAUGAUAAAUAUAAUACUUGGAAAAGCCAAAAAGAAAAAGAGAGCAAAACAAAUGCAUUCCGAAAGCAAAGACAAGCCUGAUAUGUCUACAAAUCUGUAUGUUUCAUUUCUUUCGCUACUUGCUACUUCUCAAUUUCGUCAACAUCUGUUUUGACUCUUUAAGUCUCCUCUCUUGUGGAUCUAUGAAACAUUAGCAGUAAACUUCUCCUUGAGGUUUCCUUGCAGUUGGUGAGCUACUCAAGAAAAACUUUCCAGGGUACAUCAUGGUAGAGGUUUUAUGGGUCAACCCGUUCAGUUUGCAUUUCAGACUUCACGCGGUGUUUCAAGUAUCCAUGGGUCCCAGAAUAUCCGUGCCGGAUAGCUUCCACAGCCACAUCAGUGGAGAGGUUGCUUUGAGUGUGAAGAUACUAGCCACAUGGUGAGAGAUUGUCCCAGGCUCCGGAUAGAUGUGGCACCGCGGGGUAUUCAAGCUAUGAGCUCUGCUCCAGUUGCUGCUUUACCUGCACCGCCAGCUAGGGGUGGAGGUCAAGCGGGUAGAGGUCACCCUAGAAGGGGAGGCCGGGCUUAUUGUUAUGCUCUUUUUGGUUGGGCAGAUCUCAAACUGAAAAAAGGAGAAUAAGAGAUGAUACAGCUCGAGAAGAAACCAAGAGAAAACAAAUAACUCUUCAAGAAGAAAAACCCCGGCAAGAAACGAUCAGAGCAAAGACAAGGUCUACAAUUGAAUACAAGUAACUGCCCUGUAACUGCAUUACGUGCUAAAUACAUGCAGGAUAAGUUCAAGUCUAUCACGAGUUUAUCUUCGCCAAAACUAUUUGACAAACUUUUGCACACAUGAAAUAUUGAAGAGGGGUUUCUAUGUCUCUGUCAUACUUUUUCAUUUUUUUCCCAUGCCAUCUCACUUCAGAGUUCAGACUACACAAUUUUGUGCAGUGAUUGGAAAUGGAUUUUGUAAGCAUCUCUGUUUAAGGAGAUUCCCUGAAAUAUCAAGUGUUGCAAAUAUGAUUAAAGUAAAAAAGCACAAUUGUACAAGUGGGAUCUCAGCCUGAAAAAUCUACGUCUGGAGUGGGAUCAUAGAUUUAUGGCAAAAGGACUUUCCAACUGUACAAGGAAAGAUUGUUUAACAAAUGCAAUCCUUGCAUCAAACACCGACAACUAUCCUGAAGAAAGCAUUCUGAAUACAUUAGAACCAAGUGACCGGGUAAGCCGCGGGACUUCAUAUUGGUCAACUAGAGGAGAAACUGAUCCUACAGUUCCUGAGACACUAUCAUAUAAAUUUAUCUCAAACCUGUGCUUGAUUUCAGAAAUUCAUGUACAACCAUUUCAAGGUUGCAUCUCAAGUUCUAUUUUCUAUGAUGUUAUGGAUUUGUUCAUUCGGCUUAUUUGUUUUUUUUCCACAUUAACCAGAAACAUUAUGAUGUUGUAACAACAUAUUUCCAGCUUGGCUUUCCCCUUUAUUCAACAAAAGCUGUGAGAUUCAGAGA